Molecule: ribosomal RNA, 636 nt
Filed under: uncultured bacterium
Lineage: Bacteria
Description: bacterial SSU rRNA
Rfam family: Bacterial small subunit ribosomal RNA
Source: RNAcentral
CGCAGCCAACGCGAUAAGUUGACCGCCUGGGGAGUACGGCCGCAAGGUUAAAACUCAAAUGAAUUGACGGGGGCCCGCACAAGCGGUGGAGCAUGUGGUCUAAUUCGAAGCAACGCGAAGAACCUUACCUACUCUUGACAUCCAGAGAACAUUCCAGAGAUGGGAUGGUGCCUUCGGGAACUCUGAGACAGGUGCUGCAUGGCUGUCGUCAGCUCGUGUUGUGAAAUGUUGGGUUAAGUCCCGUAACGAGCGCAACCCUUAUCCUUAUUUGCCAGCGAGUGAUGUCGGGAACUCUAAGGAGACUGCCGGUGACAAACCGGAGGAAGGUGGGGAUGACGUCAAGUCAUCAUGGCCCUUACGAGUAGGGCUACACACGUGCUACAAUGGCCGGUACAGAGGGUCGCGAACCCGCGAGGGAGAGCCAAUCUCAGAAAACCGGUCGUAGUCCGGAUCGCAGUCUGCAACUCGACUGCGUGAAGUCGGAAUCGCUAGUAAUCGCGAAUCAGAAUGUCGCGGUGAAUACGUUCCCGGGCCUUGUACACACCGCCCGUCACACCAUGGGAGUGGGUUGCACCAGAAGUGGCUAGUCUAACCUUCGGGGGGACGGUCACCACGGUGUGAUUCAUGACUGGGGUG